ACAGUUUCUCUCUGUCCCUUUCUGGAGCUGUGUUCGGCCGGGGCAAGAACACCGCCGGGCAACUGAACCUGGGGACACAACAAACAGAUGUGCUCCAGCUCCUGUUGAUUGCCUGAAUCUGAAGAAGACUGUUUUGAUUUCAUGUGGAGGAGAACAUACUGUCGUUCUGACAAAGGGAAGUGUGGUGUUCACAUUUGGCUCAGGCCGCUAUGGACAGCUUGCACACAACUCUCUCCGAGAUGAACUACAACCUCAAGUGGUGGGGCAACUUUGUGGAUUAAAGGUGACCCAGAUAGCCUGUUGAAGACACCACACAUAAGCAUUUGUGAGGCCUUCCAAUAAGAUCUACUCAUUUGGGUGCGGAGAGCAAGGGCAGCUGGGAAAUGGAGUAAAGAUUGAUCAGUCUGUGCCCCUUCCAGUACAACUGCCAGACCAGAUUGAUGACCAGAAAAUUGAACACAUUUUUGCUGGAGGAAACCAUUCCUUUGCGUUGUGCACUCUUGGUCAGGAAAUCACAAAAAUGUUUUCUUCUGCAUCAUGUUUAAAUGGGAGCUUUCUUGAUAAAAGUAGUGACAAACAUUUCCAAACCUCACCUAAACAGUCUGGCCUGGAUUUGUCUCACCGGAAGCUGGCGAAAAAGGACAACGUUUUGAGGUUGAAGCUGUUGUCCAGCACACACUGCUUCCCUCCCUGUAUGAGGAGCCCAUUGGAGUGGAGGGCUUGAGGGUCUACCUGGUUCUCCCUGAGCCCUGGAGGGUCCUUCACAAACAGCACAGAUGGACAGAUCUCACCGAACCCCUCUUUUACGCUGCUGCUACUCUCUGUUCAUCAUAUAUGCAUAGUCACUUUAACUAUACAUUCAUGUACAUACUACCUCAAUUGGCCCGACCAACCAGUGCUUGGCUAACCGGCUAUCUGCAUUGUGUCCUACCACAUGCCAACCCCUGUUUUUGCGCUACUGCUACUCUCUGUUCAUCAUAUCUGCAUAGUCACUUUAACUAUACCUACAUGUACUGUACAUGCUACCUCAAUAAUCCUGACUAACCAGUGUCUGUAUAUAGCCUUGCUACUGUUAUUUUCAAAUGUCUUUUUACUGUUGUUUUAUUUCUUUACUUAUCUACACACACCUACACACAUACUUGUUUUUUUUCUCGCACUAUUGGUUAGAGCCUGUAAGUAUGCAUUUCACUGUAAGGUCUACACCUGUUGUUUUCGGCGCACGUGACAAAUAAACUUUGAUUUGCUGCUAUCCUCAGACUGCACCCCAACAAGCUGCAGGUCCUCGGUAAUGUUGCCCUCCAUUUAAAUUGUUUAAAGUGUGUCACCCCAAAUUCAACGAAUCAACAAUAACGUAGUCGUAAAUCUGUUUGUGCUGUUUCCAACUUCUUUUGUCCUUGUUCUUUCGCUGUCUGGCAGAUUUAGACUAGGCAAAACCAGUGAUUAUUUUUAUUGAGUGUGGUAUUCCUGGGCUAAAACUAAAUGUGUACACUGUCGUGUUGCCCCUGGAAUGAUAGUGAAGUAGACCAAAUUCUAUACCCCCACAAAAUAGUUUGAGAAAGUAAUCUGUGUGUUACCAUGUCCUGUCGGUGACUGCUGGUCCGCAUUGAAGCCCUCUCUCAUGACCAAGCACAUUGGGGUGUGGAAGAAGGCCAUGUCUGUGAUUUUGACAAGGAAACGUAUUCUACGCACCUGUGACCCAAGGAUCAAACACCACACAAUUUCCCCCCCGAUGUUCACAACAUGGACAGCUAUUUAUUUAUGAUACACAUUGAAUUGCACAUUUCCAUUCAGUGUGCAAUUAAUGAAGUAGCUGUCUAACCCCGGGGUCUCAAGCGAAGCUGGGCGCCAUUUCACAAGAACAACUGCCUUAUAGUCGCACGCAGUUAGCUGUUAGGAUGUUACUCCAUCUCCUCUUUUCCGUGGAUGGAUUCCAAUAGCUCCUAAGAGAGCUUUAGGCUCUGUGGCCGCUCACAGCCUUGAUCUCUCUGGCCUCCAGACCUGCAUCAGAGAGCAGCUGGAUGUUAGUCGUCUUGAUGCAGUGGUUGGUAUACCUACGGGAUGUGCCGGCCUCCUAGAGAGAGAGAACGAGCAAUUAAUAAUAGAAAUAUGACAAUGAUUCUAUUAAUGUUUAUUCUAUUCAUAUGACUGUAUAGCAGCCUAGCUAUUUGAACAAAAUGUUAUACCUUGCACAGACAGAGCAGCAUUGAUGAAAGGGUGUUGAGUCCCAUUGGCUCUGGUAUACCACACCGUUGUCGUUGGAUAGCUGUCGUCUGGUUAACAAUGAGAAUUCAAAACCAUCCUUCAUAAAACUAUAUAUGGCAGAAAUGUCACCUAUCAGAGGGCAAGAUGGAGCCUAUUAGACAAGUGUCCUGGGGUUGAUUUGGGAUUCAUGGUGAACAUGUUCUGCAACCUGGCUAAAAUGUUGUUUUGAUACAUUGAUUUGACAAAUGGUUUGAAUGGUGUCAAGUGUCUAUUGCUUCACCAUAUAUUAAUUGAGGGCAUUUCCCCCCUAGAACACUGUGUAUAAAGGAGAGUACCAUGCUGGGCAUCCCAACAUCGUCACAUUCUGGGAGGUGUUUGAGGAACUGACAGAGGAUCAAAAGAAAGCGUUCCUGUUGUUCCUGACUGGCUGUGAUCGUGUGCCCAUCCUGGGUAUGAACCAGAUCAGGAUGAGGGUCCAAACCCUUCUCAACUCCUCCCAACAGCAUUUCCCAGAGGCGCUGACCUGUCACUCUCCAAAGAGACACUACAGAGCAGGCUUAUAGAAGCUGUUGGCCACAACAGAGGCUUCAGGAAUGAAUAAUGGGUGUUUUGUGUUGCUGCUGUGUAUAGUCCUGUGUUCAUCUUUUCAUUGUUCCAUAGUUGGGUUUAAGAUUUGGAUUAUUUUAAUGUAGGGUUGUAUUUCAAAUCCUAACUUGAGAUCUGUACAGUACUAUGACAUUAUCAUAUUUCAUUCAUCAAAUUUUAUUAAAACAUUAAUAAAUCAAAAAGUACA
Oncorhynchus masou masou (cherry salmon) is the source of this 2995-nucleotide long non-coding RNA. RefSeq lists it as uncharacterized. The transcript has 9 exons. NCBI's taxonomy places the organism in Eukaryota, Metazoa, Chordata, Actinopteri, Salmoniformes, Salmonidae. The record is from RefSeq and is a predicted model, not a curated record.